Molecule: long non-coding RNA, 995 nt
Organism: Brassica oleracea var. oleracea
Lineage: Eukaryota; Viridiplantae; Streptophyta; Magnoliopsida; Brassicales; Brassicaceae
Exons: 4
Source: RefSeq, a predicted model, not a curated record
CUUACGAACCCUAGUUCCAUGCCAAUCGAAGACACUGAUGGAACCUAACCCUAAUUCCGCCUUCCUCCGUCGCUCUUCACCACCAUGACCUUUGCCUUCUCUCGCUUCUUCUUCUUCUUCUUCGUCUUCUCAUCUUUUGAGUUCCACUGGAGCUUUCUCAUCUCUGCUAAACUCUAGAAGUCGUCGAUGUCUGAGUCUUACACCUGGCUUGAAGAGAUAAGGUUAAAGAGGAUGUUGGUUACUGAUGAAUUCUUAGAACUCAUCACUAAAUCGUUUAUGAAUUUCGAAGUUGUCGUGCUCUCUUCCUGUGAAGGUUUCUCCACUGAUGGUCUCGCUGCUAGAGCUUCCUCUUGAUUCUUACUUCAUUUUUCCAGAAAUAAUAAGGUAAAGGAGGAGAUAGAAUACUUAUCCUUCAUCUUGUUUUUUCUUUCUCAAUCAGUUCUGCCUUCAUUGGGUAACUAAGACACCAAGGUCGAGUAAGAGAUAAGGUUAUUCUGAUAACAUGGAGACUAAGAAUGAGAAUCAAGCCAACGAAGCUUUUAAAGAAUUGGCAGGUGCAUAGGAGAGUUUCAUGGAGUUCUGGAUAUCAAGACUCUAUCACUUUGCUCCAACAUCUCUGGUCAGAUUCUGUCCAGUCUCGUCAUGAGCCCACCCAAGGUAUAAAACAUGUAUAUCUUGCCCAAGGAGAGUCCAAGAAAGGUGGUUGCUAGUGGAUCAGUCUCAUCUGUUAAGCAUCUUGCAGUAUGGUUAGAGGAUCUGUAAGGUGAUGGUGUUGUUUUCGACCAGCUUGAACAUUUGGAGCUUGCUACAACAGUUGAAUGUCCACACUGGAAAGUUUUUGUUGAUGACGUAUGUGUUUGUUUCUGAAACUCUUCAAAUGAUGGAGAGGAGUAACUUGCUAAGUACACACUCACGCUGAAGAUUAUGUUAAGUAGAGGUGGCAAUGAAGAUUAUGUUUAGAUUAGUUGAGGUUUAUUUUUUUAUUUGUAUUUUAG